Molecule: ribosomal RNA, 199 nt
Filed under: uncultured bacterium
Lineage: Bacteria
Description: partial 16S ribosomal RNA
Rfam family: Bacterial small subunit ribosomal RNA
Source: RNAcentral
ACUCCUACGGGAGGCAGCAGUGGGGAAUUUUGGACAAUGGGGGAAACCCUGAUCCAGCAAUGCCGCGUGUGUGAAGAAGGCCUUCGGGUUGUAAAGCACUUUUGUCCGGAAAGAAAUCUGUCGGGCUAAUACCCUGAUGGGAUGACGGUACCGGAAGAAUAAGCACCGGCUAACUACGUGCCAGCAGCCGCGGUAAUAC